GGAAAAUGCAGAGACCUCGGACGACGCCGUCGGAGUACCAGGGGAAGGCCAUGACGAGGAGGACGCCGAAGAUUCCGAGGGAAGGAACGAGGAGGGGGAGGAGAGGGAGGAGGAAGACGGUGGCGGCGAGGAAGGAGAAGGUGGAGGAGCCGAGUAAGUAGAGGCCCCAGCCGAGGAGGGGGUGGAUGGUGGUGGGGAUGAUGAAGAAUGGAAGGGCGUAGGUGGCGAGGAUGGACCAAAAGGCGGCGAGUUUGAGGGCGGAGUGGAAGGAGGCGGCGGGUUUUUCCGAUCGGCGGUGGGAGAGCUUGGUGAGAUUAGGGCGGGCGAGACGGAUCAUGGCGAGAAUCCCUAAGUAAACAAGGAUUUGGAUCAGAAUCAAUGGCAUCUCCGCGCCGUACCCGAGGGUGCCGCGACGUUGUUCAUGCCAUUGGAGGCCAAGAGGUAGAAC
RNAcentral lists this unclassified non-coding RNA (448 nucleotides) under Hevea brasiliensis (rubber tree). The record is from RNAcentral. Lineage: Eukaryota; Viridiplantae; Streptophyta; Magnoliopsida; Malpighiales; Euphorbiaceae.